UAGCGCGGUGGUCCCACCUGACCCCAUGCCGAACUCAGAAGUGAAACGCCGUAGCGCCGAUGGUAGUGUGGGGUCUCCCCAUGCGAGAGUAGGGAACUGCCAGACA
This 106-nucleotide ribosomal RNA is filed under the name Escherichia coli. The record is from RNAcentral. RNAcentral also lists the same sequence under 63 other names. Lineage: Bacteria; Pseudomonadati; Pseudomonadota; Gammaproteobacteria; Enterobacterales; Enterobacteriaceae.